This 29-nucleotide small RNA is filed under the name Bombyx mori (domestic silkworm). RNAcentral describes it as "ovarian small RNA-6728". The record is from RNAcentral. Lineage: Eukaryota; Metazoa; Arthropoda; Insecta; Lepidoptera; Bombycidae.
UCAAAGGCAUCAAUGCGUCUGCGGUCUGC